CCCUUUUAAAAGUGUAGAAUGACCCCACUUUUGCGAUAACACGCAAUCAAUACAACUUUCAACAACGGAUCUCUUGGCUCUCGCAUCGAUGAAGAACGCAGCGAAAUGCGAUACGUAAUGUGAAUUGCAGAAUUCAGUGAAUCAUCGAAUCUUUGAACGCACCUUGCGCCCCUUGGUAUUCCGAGGGGCACACCCGUUUGAGUGUCGUGAAAAUCUCAACCUUCUCGGUUUCUUCUGAACACCGAAGGAGGCUUGGACUUUGGAGGCCUUUGCUGGUGUCUCUCACCAGCUCCUCUCAAAUGAAUUAGCGGGGUCCUCUUUGCCGUCCUCGACAUGUGAUAAGAUGUUUCCAUGUCUUGGCUUUAUGGCUCUGUUGCUUUGGGACCCGCUUCUAACCGUCUCAGCGAGACAACGUUCGAGCG
RNAcentral lists this ribosomal RNA (422 nucleotides) under uncultured Lactarius. Its description in RNAcentral is "eukaryotic LSU rRNA". The stretch from base 54 to 207 matches the Rfam family "5.8S ribosomal RNA". The record is from RNAcentral. Lineage: Eukaryota; Fungi; Basidiomycota; Agaricomycetes; Russulales; Russulaceae.